AAUUUUGGACAAUGGGGGAAACCCUGAUCCAGCAAUCCCGCGUGUAUGAUGAAGGCCUUCGGGUUGUAAAGUACUUUUGGCAGAGAAGAAAAGGUACCUCCUAAUACGAGGUACGGCUGACGGUACCUGCAGAAUAAGCACCGGCUAACUACGUGCCAGCAGCCGCGGUAAUACGUAGGGUGCAAGGGUUAAUCUGAAUUACUGGGCGUAAAGCGUGUGUAGGAGGUUCGGAAAGAAAGAUGUGGAAUCCCAGGGCUCAACCUUGGAACUGCAUUUUUAAAUGCCGAGCUAGAGUAUGUCAGAGGGGGGUAGAAUUCCACGUGUAGCAGUGAAAUGCGUAGAUAUGUGGAGGAAUACCGAUGGCGAAGGCAGCCCCUGGGAUAAUACUGACGCUCAGACACGAAAGCGUGGGGAGCAAACA
This 421-nucleotide ribosomal RNA is filed under the name uncultured bacterium. RNAcentral describes it as "partial 16S ribosomal RNA". It matches the Rfam family "Bacterial small subunit ribosomal RNA", at positions 360 to 774 of the family's 1533-position model. The record is from RNAcentral.